GAUCUGGCUCAGGAUGAACGCUAGCUACAGGCCUAACACAUGCAAGUCGAGGGGAAACGGCAGCUUAGCUUGCUAAGCUGGACGUCGACCGGCGCACGGGUGAGUAACGCGUAUCCAACCUGCCCCACGGUGAGGGAUAACCCGCGGAAACGCGGCCUAAUACCUCAUGGCCUCCGAGCUUGACAUCAAUCUUGGAGUAAAGAUUCAUUGCCGUGGGAUGGGGAUGCGUCUGAUUAG
Molecule: ribosomal RNA, 237 nt
Filed under: uncultured bacterium
Lineage: Bacteria
Description: partial 16S ribosomal RNA
Rfam family: Bacterial small subunit ribosomal RNA
Source: RNAcentral